This 411-nucleotide ribosomal RNA is filed under the name Triticum aestivum (bread wheat). RNAcentral's name for it is "partial small subunit ribosomal RNA". The record is from RNAcentral. Lineage: Eukaryota; Viridiplantae; Streptophyta; Magnoliopsida; Poales; Poaceae.
AUGAUGAUACCAUUUAAAUAUCAUAUGACUGAACAAAUAACCAUAUUUCCACUAGAAAUAUUUGCAGCAGCAGUAACAUCAUUCACAAUAGUACAUCAAUAUAAAAAAUAUUUAAAAAUUACACACCAUCAUUUAUACCUCAGCUUAAAUAUAGAUGUUGUUUCGAAUAAACUUAAGCGCCGCAAUAGUUCAAAAAAAAUCCGUCAGCAUGAACAUAUCACCGGUAAUAUAUCAAUGGAGUUAACCUAUUAUCACACGAACAUAAAUAUUAGACACGGAUUUUUUUUCUGCUAUCAAAAGCAUCCAAAUGGCACUUUGCAUGUAUGUGGUCGUCACCUCAAAAGGGACAUCGAAGAUCGAAACACAAUUUCUUCAAUCACGUCAUCUCAUCAUUGUUUGUUACUCAGAUGA